This 186-nucleotide non-coding RNA is filed under the name Hippea maritima. The record is from RNAcentral. Lineage: Bacteria; Pseudomonadati; Campylobacterota; Desulfurellia; Desulfurellales; Hippeaceae. RNAcentral also lists the same sequence under 1 other name.
UGUAUAAACAACAUGUCGGGUCAAGGAAGUCCGGUGUAAAUCCGGCGCUGCCCCCGCAACUGUGAGGCUGACGAAACCCUAACUAAGCCACUGUCGAGAGAGGCUCCUAAAGGGGUCGCUCGAUGGGAAGGCCAGGGAAGUAGGAUGAAGCCGAGCCAGGAGACUUACCCGACAAUAAAACGAACG